CAGUAGCCGCGGUAAUACGAAGGGUGCAAGCGUUAAUCGGAAUUACUGGGCGUAAAGCGUGCGUAGGCGGUGAGUUAAGUCUGCUGUGAAAUCCCCGGGCUCAACCUGGGAAUGGCAGUGGAUACUGGCUCGCUAGAGUGUGUCAGAGGAUGGUGGAAUUCCCGGUGUAGCGGUGAAAUGCGUAGAGAUCGGGAGGAACAUCAGUGGCGAAGGCGGCCAUCUGGGACAAUACUGACGCUCAUGCACGAAAGCGUGGGGAGCAAACAGGAUUAGAUACCCCUGUAGUCCCUGUCUCUUAUAC
Molecule: ribosomal RNA, 301 nt
Filed under: uncultured bacterium
Lineage: Bacteria
Description: partial 16S ribosomal RNA
Rfam family: Bacterial small subunit ribosomal RNA
Source: RNAcentral